Molecule: long non-coding RNA, 560 nt
Filed under: Pan troglodytes (chimpanzee)
Lineage: Eukaryota; Metazoa; Chordata; Mammalia; Primates; Hominidae
Description: long non-coding RNA NONPTRT016982
Source: RNAcentral
CCAUUACUAAAAAGUCAAGAAGCAACAGAUGCUGGUGAGGUUGCAGAGAAAUAAGAAUGCUUUUACAUUAUUGCUGGGAAUGUAAAUUAGUUCAACCAUUGUGGAAGACAGUAUAGCUAUUCCUCAAACAUCUAGAAACAGGAAUAACAUUUGAUCCAGCAAUCCCAUUCCUGGGUAUAUACCCAAAGAAAUAGAAAUCAUUCUAUUACAAAGAUACAUGCACACGUAUGUUCAUUGCAGCACUAUUUAUAAUUGCUGUAAUGGUUGAUCAGUCUUUUCUAGAGAUUGAUAUGAACAGAAUCUUAUGAUGUGUACUGUUUUAUGCCUGGCUUAUUUCACACAGCAGAAUGUGGUGUGAGUAAUCCAUAUUGCUGAAUGCAUCAUGAGCUCAUCUUUCUAAAUUGCUAAGGAGUAUGACAUUACAAACCUAUGUUUGUAAUUUAAAAAGAUGAUUCCUGACAUGGCUGAAUGUUUAACCUUAUUAGAAACUAUCAAACUGUUUUCAAAAGUAGUUGUACCAUUUUACAUUCAUAGCAGCAUCAUUUGUGUGAUUAUUGCUC